RNAcentral lists this ribosomal RNA (560 nucleotides) under Rhodotorula mucilaginosa. RNAcentral's name for it is "eukaryotic LSU rRNA". It matches the Rfam family "Eukaryotic large subunit ribosomal RNA", at positions 79 to 656 of the family's 3401-position model. Lineage: Eukaryota; Fungi; Basidiomycota; Microbotryomycetes; Sporidiobolales; Sporidiobolaceae. The record is from RNAcentral.
CCUAGUAGCGGCGAGCGAGCGGGAAGAGCUCAAAUUUAUAAUCUGGCACCUUCGGUGUCCGAGUUGUAAUCUCUAGAAAUGUUUUCCGCGUUGGACCGCACACAAGUCUGUUGGAAUACAGCGGCAUAGUGGUGAGACCCCCGUAUAUGGUGCGGACGCCCAGCGCUUUGUGAUACAUUUUCGAAGAGUCGAGUUGUUUGGGAAUGCAGCUCAAAUUGGGUGGUAAAUUCCAUCUAAAGCUAAAUAUUGGCGAGAGACCGAUAGCGAACAAGUACCGUGAGGGAAAGAUGAAAAGCACUUUGGAAAGAGAGUUAACAGUACGUGAAAUUGUUGGAAGGGAAACGCUUGAAGUCAGACUUGCUUGCUGAGCAAUCGGUUUGCAGGCCAGCAUCAGUUUUCCGGGAUGGAUAAUGGUAGAGAGAAGGUAGCAGUUUCGGCUGUGUUAUAGCUCUCUGCUGGAUACAUCUUGGGGGACUGAGGAACGCAGUGUGCCUUUGGCGGGGGUUUCGACCUCUUCACACUUAGGAUGCUGGUGGAAUGGCUUUAAACGACCCGUCUUG